UGAGAGCUUUAAGUGUAAAGGGCCAUGAU
RNAcentral lists this non-coding RNA (29 nucleotides) under Mus musculus (house mouse). The record is from RNAcentral. Lineage: Eukaryota; Metazoa; Chordata; Mammalia; Rodentia; Muridae.